ACCCACUUUAUUAAGAUACAUUAUAUACAAUAAAGGCAAUAAUAUACAAGGAAUCUAUGGUACGAAUAUGCUAUAAUUUACAAUAGUUUUGGUUAAGAUAGCAUCAGCUAAGGAAAAUGGAAAUCAAUUUACCGAUUUUAGCGCUAAUGAAAAUGGUUUUGGAUGCAUCCAAAACCAAUCCCUAGACAAAUGCAAACAAAUUAGGCAAUUCAUAGAUAAUUUACAAUAGUUUUGGUUAAGAUAGCAUCAGCUAAGGAAAAUGGAAAUCAAUUUACCGAUUUUAGCGCUAAUGAAAAUGGUUUUGGAUGCAUCCAAAACCAAUCCCUAGACAAAUGCAAACAAAUUAGGCAAUUCAUAGCUCAUGAGAAUGGUUUUGGAUGCGUCCAAAACCAAACCUAUAGGAAAAUGCAAAUCAAU
Molecule: non-coding RNA, 417 nt
Organism: Paramuricea clavata
Lineage: Eukaryota; Metazoa; Cnidaria; Anthozoa; Malacalcyonacea; Plexauridae
Source: the annotation of a GenBank genome assembly